AACGAACGCUGGCGGCAUGCCUAACACAUGCAAGUCGAACGAGACCUUCGGGUCUAGUGGCGCACGGGUGCGUAACGCGUGGGAACCUGCCCUUAGGUUCGGAAUAACUCCCCGAAAGGGGUGCUAAUACCGGAUAAUGUCUUCGGACCAAAGAUUUAUCGCCUUUGGAUGGGCCCGCGUUGGAUUAGCUAGUUGGUAGGGUAAAAGCCUACCAAGGCGACGAUCCAUAGCUGGUCUGAGAGGAUGAUCAUCCACAAUGGGACUGAGACACGGACCAGAAUCCUACGGGAGGCAGCAGUGGGGAAUAUUGGACAAGGGGGGAAAGCCUGAUCCAGCAAUGCCGCGUGAGUGAUGAAGGCCUUAGGGUUGUAAAGCUCUUUUAACCGGGAUGAUAAUGACAGUACCGGGAGAAUAAGCUCCGGCUAACUCCGUG
This 433-nucleotide ribosomal RNA is filed under the name uncultured bacterium. Its description in RNAcentral is "partial 16S ribosomal RNA". It matches the Rfam family "Bacterial small subunit ribosomal RNA", at positions 29 to 507 of the family's 1533-position model. The record is from RNAcentral.